This 67-nucleotide ribosomal RNA is filed under the name Sitaris muralis. RNAcentral describes it as "partial 28S ribosomal RNA". The record is from RNAcentral. Lineage: Eukaryota; Metazoa; Arthropoda; Insecta; Coleoptera; Meloidae.
AGCGACCUCACAUCAGGUGAGAGUACCCGCUGAAUUUUAGCAUAUUAAUAAGCGGAAAAAAGAAACU